Mauremys reevesii (Reeves's turtle) is the source of this 2050-nucleotide long non-coding RNA. RefSeq lists it as uncharacterized. NCBI's taxonomy places the organism in Eukaryota, Metazoa, Chordata, Testudines, Geoemydidae. The record is from RefSeq and is a predicted model, not a curated record. The transcript is spliced from 3 exons.
GAAAGCUGCCCCUCCCCGGCAGGCAGGACCACCCAAAAUGCAGAGGCUUUAGGGGCUGCAGGGCCUUGGGCUAAAGGGGCCUUGGCCUGCAGCUCUAAAGUCCCUUUCGUAAUGUAGUCAUGCGAGCAUGGGCCGGAGGACUCAGGAGGAGCAGGGGCAGCUGUGCAGCCAGUGGCCUGAGAGAAGCGGUGCUUUCCCCUUCAAAGCCAGCUGGAGAGAAUCUCAGAAUUGUGGCUGCCAGAAUCACGGCCACGGGAGUGGGGCCACGCUGCACAGAGCCACCUGCACACCCCUUGCAUCAAACAGGAGCUGCCCCAGCCCGAUCGUCUAGCACUUAUUGCUUGGAAGGGGUGCGAUCACUUGUACACAGAUCCGCCGCGUAACAUCUACUGCCUGGUGCCUAUGGGACAAGCCUGCAGAGUUACUACAGCGAUUAUCGACCCCUCUCCCGGACGCAGAGCUACAGCCUCCUCCAGCGGUCUCCAUGGCCUCCUCCCAACAGCCGCGGCGGGGCGAAGGGAGACGCGACAGUGUAACAGGGCAAAGCCCCGCUCAGGUGUCCGGGCCCCUACCCAGCCUGGGGAAGGGAGGCAGGGCCUGCGGGAGCCCCAUAGCGCGGGGGUGUUGGGCAGGCCGGGGGGUGCGGACCUGAAGGCGUCUCUGCCCUAUUUUCCUGGGCACAAAGGCAGACUCCCGGGGCCUGCCGCGGAAGGCCGGGCGCGCAGGCAGCCCUCAGCGAACAGAAGGCGCACCGGCCCCAAGCUAGGAGGGGAAGGACUGUUCCGCCCCGGGAGCCGCCCGAAGCCCCUGGGAGCCGGCCUCGCCCUCACCUUGAAGGGGUUGUUGAGGUCCGGGUCCGCGAAGGGGUUACUGUCGAAGUCCGACAUGGCGGGGGCGGGCGGGCGCUGUGAUCACCGGGCGGCGGCGGCUCCACUCCAGCGCCCCACAAUCUACCCCCGAACCGGUAUCACAAGCAGAUCCGGCCUAGGUCCCGCCCCUUGCCCGAGCAGCCAGCCAGCGAGAUCCAAAAUGGCUGCUCUGGAAGUGAGGUCUUCGGCGAGGCAAUACCAUCUGUACGCCUGGAAAGGGGACGCUACAUACAGCGCUGCAUCCUCUCACUGAGUGCAGUCGUUAGCUUGACUAAAUGUUCAGAGCUGCUAAUAACCUACAGCAGGAUGAAACUAGCACUGGAUGAAAAAAUAGUGAUCUGUGCUUUGCUGAUGAUAUUGACUUAAUUAGAUCAUUGUAAGAAGAGAUGCAAAAAUUGCUAGAAAGAGUAGUAGUUGGAGCAGAGAAGUUAGGGCUAAAGAUAUCGCCUGAGAAGACAAUUGUGACAUAUGAGGCUGUUGAUAAAGCAAAGAUAAUCCUACCCAAAUCUAGAGGCGGUAUGAUGAGCUCUCCACAUAUUUGGGUAGUAUUACUACAAAGGACAGUAAACAGAGAGAUCUGGGACAUGUACCUCAAAAGCAGCACCCUGGAACCUCCCUAUUCACCACUGUCAUAUAAUUAUGUUUUUUUACAAGGCUUGUCUUGUGAGGUAUCAUUUUAAAAGUCUUGAUCUGUUGAACAAUAAUAUCCUGCUGAAUUGUAUGUACUAUCAUUGUAUGUGAAGUUAUGAAGUUUUACUCUGUGUGUGUCUGUCUUUGAAAUAUUUUGUGAGGCUGGAAACACCCACACCCAGCCUUUCAGGUAUAACAAUGGAGUAGCCAGACAGCAUUAAUGGCUCAUCAACACCUAUCAAGAAAAGAAUCCACCAUCCUAGAGAUCUAUUGGACGAGGUAUGGGGGCAGACUAACCACCUCACAGCAAAUAUCUUUCCAGCAAGCUGAAAGAAAGUAUAAAAGAGGUCAUAUGACAUCAUCACUUGGCCUCUCUCCCCCUCCAACUCAACAUCUGGAGGAAUAUCAGGAGAACAAAUACUUUGAACUGAGAAACUUUUAUCUACAAUUUGACUGCCAGUUGGAGCCAUCACUUAUCAGAAUAACUUUACACUGGAUCAGGAUUGAGGUUCAAAUUGGGGGAAUGAGGAAGCACCAAUGCAAUUAUAGGU